This 24-nucleotide microRNA is filed under the name Homo sapiens (human). RNAcentral's name for it is "hsa-miR-6856-5p". Lineage: Eukaryota; Metazoa; Chordata; Mammalia; Primates; Hominidae. The record is from miRBase by way of RNAcentral.
AAGAGAGGAGCAGUGGUGCUGUGG